This 2921-nucleotide ribosomal RNA is filed under the name Campylobacter jejuni. RNAcentral's name for it is "23S ribosomal RNA". It matches the Rfam family "Bacterial large subunit ribosomal RNA". Lineage: Bacteria; Pseudomonadati; Campylobacterota; Epsilonproteobacteria; Campylobacterales; Campylobacteraceae. The record is from RNAcentral.
AAAAAAGGUAAGCUACUAAGAGCGAAUGGUGGAUGCCUUGACUGGUAAAGGCGAUGAAGGACGUACUAGACUGCGAUAAGCUACGGGGAGCUGUCAAGAAGCUUUGAUCCGUAGAUUUCCGAAUGGGGCAACCCAAUGUAUAGAGAUAUACAUUACCUAUAUAGGAGCGAACGAGGGGAAUUGAAACAUCUUAGUACCCUCAGGAAAAGAAAUCAAUAGAGAUUGCGUCAGUAGCGGCGAGCGAAAGCGCAAGAGGGCAAACCCAGUGCUUGCACUGGGGGUUGUAGGACUGCAAUGUGCAAGAGGUAAGUUUAGCAGAACAUUCUGGAAAGUAUAACCAUAGAGGGUGAUAGUCCCGUAUGCGAAAAACAAACCUUAGCUAGCAGUAUCCUGAGUAGGGCGGGACACGAGGAAUCCUGUCUGAAUCCGGGUCGACCACGAUCCAACCCUAAAUACUAAUACCAGAUCGAUAGUGCACAAGUACCGUGAGGGAAAGGUGAAAAGAACUGAGGUGAUCAGAGUGAAAUAGAACCUGAAACCAUUUGCUUACAAUCAUUCAGAGCCCUAUGUAGCAAUACAGGGUGAUGGACUGCCUUUUGCAUAAUGAGCCUGCGAGUUGUGGUGUCUGGCAAGGUUAAGCAAACGCGAAGCCGUAGCGAAAGCGAGUCUGAAUAGGGCGCUUAGUCAGAUGCUGCAGACCCGAAACGAAGUGAUCUAUCCAUGAGCAAGUUGAAGCUAGUGUAAGAACUAGUGGAGGACUGAACCCAUAGGCGUUGAAAAGCCCCGGGAUGACUUGUGGAUAGGGGUGAAAGGCCAAUCAAACUUCGUGAUAGCUGGUUCUCUCCGAAAUAUAUUUAGGUAUAGCGUUGUGUCGUAAUAUAAGGGGGUAGAGCACUGAAUGGGCUAGGGCAUACACCAAUGUACCAAACCCUAUCAAACUCCGAAUACCUUAUAUGUAAUCACAGCAGUCAGGCGGCGAGUGAUAAAAUCCGUCGUCAAGAGGGAAACAACCCAGACUACCAGCUAAGGUCCCUAAAUCUUACUUAAGUGGAAAACGAUGUGAAGUUACUUAAACAACCAGGAGGUUGGCUUAGAAGCAGCCAUCCUUUAAAGAAAGCGUAAUAGCUCACUGGUCUAGUGAUUUUGCGCGGAAAAUAUAACGGGGCUAAAGUAAGUACCGAAGCUGUAGACUUAGUUUACUAAGUGGUAGGAGAGCGUUCUAUUUGCGUCGAAGGUAUACCGGUAAGGAGUGCUGGAGCGAAUAGAAGUGAGCAUGCAGGCAUGAGUAGCGAUAAUUAAUGUGAGAAUCAUUAACGCCGUAAACCCAAGGUUUCCUACGCGAUGCUCGUCAUCGUAGGGUUAGUCGGGUCCUAAGUCGAGUCCGAAAGGGGUAGACGAUGGCAAAUUGGUUAAUAUUCCAAUACCAACAUUAGUGUGCGAUGGAAGGACGCUUAGGGCUAAGGGGGCUAGCGGAUGGAAGUGCUAGUCUAAGGUCGUAGGAGGUUGUACAGGCAAAUCCGUAUAACAAUACUCCGAGAACUGAAAGGCUUUUUGAAGUCUUCGGAUGGAUAGAAGAACCCCUGAUGCCGUCGAGCCAAGAAAAGUUUCUAAGUUUAGCUAAUGUUGCCCGUACCGUAAACCGACACAGGUGGGUGGGAUGAGUAUUCUAAGGCGCGUGGAAGAACUCUCUUUAAGGAACUCUGCAAAAUAGCACCGUAUCUUCGGUAUAAGGUGUGGUUAGCUUUGUAUUAGGAUUUACUCCGAAAGCAAGGAAACUUACAACAAAGAGUCCCUCCCGACUGUUUACCAAAAACACAGCACUCUGCUAACUCGUAAGAGGAUGUAUAGGGUGUGACGCCUGCCCGGUGCUCGAAGGUUAAUUGAUGGGGUUAGCAUUAGCGAAGCUCUUGAUCGAAGCCCGAGUAAACGGCGGCCGUAACUAUAACGGUCCUAAGGUAGCGAAAUUCCUUGUCGGUUAAAUACCGACCUGCAUGAAUGGCGUAACGAGAUGGGAGCUGUCUCAAAGAGGGAUCCAGUGAAAUUGUAGUGGAGGUGAAAAUUCCUCCUACCCGCGGCAAGACGGAAAGACCCCGUGGACCUUUACUACAGCUUGACACUGCUACUUGGAUAAGAAUGUGCAGGAUAGGUGGGAGGCUUUGAGUAUAUGACGCCAGUUGUAUAUGAGCCAUUGUUGAGAUACCACUCUUUCUUAUUUGGGUAGCUAACCAGCUUGAGUUAUCCUCAAGUGGGACAAUGUCUGGUGGGUAGUUUGACUGGGGCGGUCGCCUCCCAAAUAAUAACGGAGGCUUACAAAGGUUGGCUCAGAACGGUUGGAAAUCGUUCGUAGAGUAUAAAGGUAUAAGCCAGCUUAACUGCAAGACAUACAAGUCAAGCAGAGACGAAAGUCGGUCUUAGUGAUCCGGUGGUUCUGUGUGGAAGGGCCAUCGCUCAAAGGAUAAAAGGUACCCCGGGGAUAACAGGCUGAUCUCCCCAAGAGCUCACAUCGACGGGGAGGUUUGGCACCUCGAUGUCGGCUCAUCGCAUCCUGGGGCUGGAGCAGGUCCCAAGGGUAUGGCUGUUCGCCAUUUAAAGCGGUACGCGAGCUGGGUUCAGAACGUCGUGAGACAGUUCGGUCCCUAUCUGCCGUGGGCGUAAGAAGAUUGAAGAGAUUUGACCCUAGUACGAGAGGACCGGGUUGAACAAACCACUGGUGUAGCUGUUGUUCUGCCAAGAGCAUCGCAGCGUAGCUAAGUUUGGAAAGGAUAAACGCUGAAAGCAUCUAAGCGUGAAGCCAACUCUAAGAUGAAUCUUCUCUAAGCUCUCUAGAAGACUACUAGUUUGAUAGGCUGGGUGUGUAAUGGAUGAAAGUCCUUUAGCUGACCAGUACUAAUAGAGCGUUUGGCUUAUCUUUAAUAAAGCAU